Clarias gariepinus (North African catfish) is the source of this 957-nucleotide long non-coding RNA. RefSeq lists it as uncharacterized. The transcript is spliced from 2 exons. The record is from RefSeq and is a predicted model, not a curated record. Lineage: Eukaryota; Metazoa; Chordata; Actinopteri; Siluriformes; Clariidae.
UAAAAAAGCUGACCUGUUAAUCACAGGAGUGGUUAGUUGUGCCCCUGUCUGUUUGCAUUGCACAUAUUGUGUCUAUUAGUGGGGUUUUCAUUUAGUAAGAAAAUGUAACGCUGGCCCUUUAAGAAACACAAGCGUGCAAUUACCUGAAAGUGUCGUUGCAAUUACCUGAAAGCAGUGCGAUCUCAUACCACGGUGUUCGUUGGUGCAUUGGAGCAAAAUUUACGCCAAAGUUUAGUGAAAAGUAAACUAGCAUGAGCUGUGCAUGCAUGAUAAAGGUAAAUAAGAGCUCCUUAGUGUUUUGCUGGUCAGUGUGGCCGUGUGUCGCGUUGAUUUCAGGGGAUUUAACCGGGACACAUUAGUGUGGGUGAACCAAAUCAACGCCGUCGCGUAAAGCGUAAGUGCUUGGACAUAAUCCACUUUAUAUACUGAGUAUGUUGUGUGUAUCUCUAUGUGAAACAGCAUGAUUAAAAUAUAGUUAUUUUAUUUAUUCAAGAGGGGAGAAAACUGCUCCAUAGGCCAUCCGUGUGCUUCCGGUGUGAGUGUGAAGCAUCAGAGUGAGUGUUAUUUCAUGUUACUGUUCCAAAAAGAAGAAACACAAGCUCCUCAUAUGCAGUGUUAAUUUGUGAUGUACUAGAGUGGUGAUAAACAGUAAGUUUGAAUCAGUUAUUUUGUUUUAUUUGAAAUGAGACAGUAUGUCUAUGGAUGAUGUUAUAUGUCAUGGUUGUGCUGACAAGGUUAUAUUUAUUUUUGUGUUUGCUUAUAGAAUGAGAGGCUGCUACCGUUGUCUAUGUAAUGCAUUUAUUUAGAGAUAAAUUAUCAUUUUGUUUUGAGGGACAAACUUUACUAAUGUCAACAACUGUACAUGAGUUUUAAGUUUCUUUCUGAUUCCCCGAAUUUGCACAAUUAACGCUGCUCUAUUUAAAGUGCAGUCUGGAAUAAAAGAUCCCAUCUAAAUUA